This 254-nucleotide ribosomal RNA is filed under the name uncultured bacterium. RNAcentral describes it as "partial 16S ribosomal RNA". It matches the Rfam family "Bacterial small subunit ribosomal RNA", at positions 524 to 776 of the family's 1533-position model. The record is from RNAcentral.
UACGGAGGGUGCAAGCGUUGCUCGGAAUCACUGGGUUUAAAGGGUGCGUAGGCGGUUUGAUAAGUCAGUUGUGAAAUUCCCCGGCUUAACCGGGCGGACUGCGAUUGAUACUGUUAGACUUGAAUCAGGUUGAGGUAGGCGGAAUGUGACAUGUAGCGGUGAAAUGCUUAGAUAUGUCAUAGAACACCGAUUGCGAAGGCAGCUUGCUAGACCUGGAUUGACGCUGAGGCACGAAAGCGUGGGGAGCAAACAGG